UGAAGUCUCAGUUCAAGACCUUUUUUUUUUUUUAAGUCUUACUCAAAAGGAAGUGAGUAUGAGGUGAACUGCAUUAACCUAAAGUGCUGCAGAGAUAAACUUAAAGCAGGAAGCAACAUACCAUGAAUGUACUGCAAGGGAACACAUUUGUGUCAUGUGAAGAGACAUGACAAAAACAGCCCUCCUUAAAUUAUUUGUGGCAAUAGUGAUCACAUUCAUUUUAAUUUUGCCGGAAUAUUUCAAGACACCGAAAGAUAACUUACCGUCACCUUUUGACAAGAAAAAGCGUUUAUAUAUUUUGAAAAUACAAUCAAAAUAAGAAACCUGGGGCUACAAAAAGGAAAGACAACUCUUUGAUCAAGGAGUUUUCAGUCGGGAGGACAACUGACUGGCAAACAACUAAAUAAAAUACAGGAAUUAACUGAAACAGGGAUGUAAACAAGAUGCAAUGGAAACAUAAGUAUUGCUUCCACGUCAGUCUUUGGGAGGACGUUCCUUGUAUUUCCAUUUGCAAAGAGAAAUAAAUAAUUGUCAGAGUUCAAAUGA
RNAcentral lists this long non-coding RNA (546 nucleotides) under Homo sapiens (human). Its description in RNAcentral is "HSALNT0071408". The record is from RNAcentral. Lineage: Eukaryota; Metazoa; Chordata; Mammalia; Primates; Hominidae.